RNAcentral lists this ribosomal RNA (253 nucleotides) under uncultured bacterium. RNAcentral's name for it is "partial 16S ribosomal RNA". It matches the Rfam family "Bacterial small subunit ribosomal RNA", at positions 524 to 776 of the family's 1533-position model. The record is from RNAcentral.
UACAGAGGGGGCAAGCGUUAUUCGGAAUUAUUGGGCGUAAAGGGCGCGUAGGCGGCUGUACAAGUCAAAGGUGAAAUCCCUCGGCUCAACUGAGGAACUGCCUUUGAAACUGUACGGCUUGAGGCCGGGAGGGGGUAGCGGAAUUCCCAGUGUAGCGGUGAAAUGCGUAGAUACUGGGAGGAACACCAGUGGCGAAGGCGGCUACCUGGACCGGCUCUGACGCUGAGGCGCGAAAGCGUGGGUAGCAAACAGG